RNAcentral lists this long non-coding RNA (585 nucleotides) under Homo sapiens (human). Its description in RNAcentral is "HSALNT0275516". Lineage: Eukaryota; Metazoa; Chordata; Mammalia; Primates; Hominidae. The record is from RNAcentral.
GCGGAUGGGCGACCAGUGUAGCGGUGUCUGGAGCUGUGGUUGGACCCAUUAGUUGGGGCUGCUAAUCAGUUCACCAUGCAGGCUGUGGGCCAAGCCACUGAAGGGAUGCACCUGGACUAGGAGUGACUGGGCUGGGAAAUGUACAAUGUCCAGUAUAGAAACAAAAACUUUCAAACAUUGAAGAAAAAAGAUAAAAAGAAACUGACCCAAGAUGACUCAAAUACAAGAACAGACCAGAUAACGAUAUAAAAAUAAUUACAAUAAAUAUGCUCAAAGAUUUAUAAGAAAUAAUGGAAAGAAUGCAUGAAGGCCUGAGAAUUGUAUCUGAAAUAAAAAAUAUACAAGAUGGUUUUACAGCAGAAUGAAUAAAGCAGAAGAAAAGAACAGUGAACUGGUAUACAGGUUAAAAAAAAAAUUAACCAAAUGAAAGAGUGAGAAAAACCCUGAAAAACUGAAAAAGACUACAGAGAAUGUCGAUGAUCUAUGGGACAAUACCAAGUCACUAAUAUAUGUGUACCUGGAAUCCAAAAAGGAGAAGAGAGAGAGAAUGAAGUAAAAAAAAAUUAAAAAAAUAUUGACCUUAAG